UUCAUCAAUUCAGUUUACUUGACUUUUAUUUUGAGAGCCGUAUUACUAGUUUUUUUUUUCACCGGAUGAGAAGAGCCGUGUCUAGAACAACUCAAACAGCGAGUAAACACGGCGUAGCCGGACGCCUCCGGUGUGGGUUCACUCACGGAACAUAAUGUGUUUUAAAAACGUGACGCGGCGUGAGGCGAUACCACGGGUCUCGUCCGGUGACCGACCGUCUGUAUUUCACGAAUCACACAUAUCGCUGUAACGUUUGCUGCAUAAAUAUAUAUUGACGUAUUGACUGAAGAAAGAUGCAUACAAUAAACAUCCAAGGGCAGCAAUAUAUACUGCUGCUCCUGUUGUACUUCUGAAAGCAGUUUGUAGCACAUUGCUUGUGCUAAGAGCCAACAUCCAGUCUUGACGAACCCAAAGGCUCUUUUAAGAGCCAUCCACUCUGCAUUACAGAGACCAUUUCGGUGAAGCUCACCAUCAUUGGUCACACCUGGUGAAGCUCACCAUCAUUGGUCACACCUGGUAAAGCUCACCAUUAAAUUGUUCGUCUUGUCCAUCUAGGUAAGUAUGAUUGUUAAACGUAGGGGUUAUAGUUAAAGUAGGGAUUAUUGAUUACUUAGAUCAGCAAAAAACUCAUUCAACUUUGUCUUCAAGUAACCCUUGACUUUAAAAUAUAAACACUAUUCAUUUGGUGUCAUUCAAAUGUUAAGUUUGUAUGUUACUUUACUACUGCUUUUCAGGGACCAUUUCGGUGAAGCUCACCAUCAUUGGUCACACCUGGUGAAGCUCACCAUUAAAUUGUUCGUCUUGUCCAUCUAGCUUGCUAACGCACCUUAAAAAAAGAGCCAGAAUCCCAAAAAACAGAAGCCCAAACUUUGAAUCCAAAAAAACAGAACCCAAAACACCCAAACCCAAAAAAACAGAACCCAAAACACCCAAACCAAAAACACCCAAACCUAACCCCCAAACUUAACCCCCAAACUUGAACCCAUUUUUACAGUGCUGAAAGAAGGACGUGCUGUAGUUCCAGUCUGCCCUGCUGCCUUCUUGAUCAACGCUGAUCUGAGGACUACGUUGGAAAAUCAGCAACAGCAAAACACAUUUGUUUAAUAACCAGCUGUUUUCCUUCACAUAGUGUUCAUUUUCUAGUCUUGUCUGGAUCACAUAUUAAACUUUUGUAUCACUGA
Clarias gariepinus (North African catfish) is the source of this 1181-nucleotide long non-coding RNA. RefSeq lists it as uncharacterized. Lineage: Eukaryota; Metazoa; Chordata; Actinopteri; Siluriformes; Clariidae. The transcript has 11 exons. The record is from RefSeq and is a predicted model, not a curated record.